Molecule: ribosomal RNA, 407 nt
Filed under: uncultured bacterium
Lineage: Bacteria
Description: partial 16S ribosomal RNA
Rfam family: Bacterial small subunit ribosomal RNA
Source: RNAcentral
UGGGGAAUAUUGCACAAUGGGCGCAAGCCUGAUGCAGCGACGCCGCGUGAGGGAUGACGGCCUUCGGGUUGUAAACCUCUUUCAGUAGGGAAGAAGCGAAAGUGACGGUACCUGCAGAAGAAGCACCGGCUAACUACGUGCCAGCAGCCGCGGUAAUACGUAGGGUGCGAGCGUUAUCCGGAAUUAUUGGGCGUAAAGAGCUCGUAGGCGGUUUGUCGCGUCUGUCGUGAAAGUCCGGGGCUUAACCCCGGAUCUGCGGUGGGUACGGGCAGACUAGAGUGCAGUAGGGGAGACUGGAAUUCCUGGUGUAGCGGUGGAAUGCGCAGAUAUCAGGAGGAACACCGAUGGCGAAGGCAGGUCUCUGGGCUGUAACUGACGCGGAGGAGCGAAAGCAUGGGGAGCGAACA